Castor canadensis (American beaver) is the source of this 104-nucleotide small nuclear RNA. The record is from Ensembl. NCBI's taxonomy places the organism in Eukaryota, Metazoa, Chordata, Mammalia, Rodentia, Castoridae.
GUGCUUGAUUCGGUAGCGCAUGUACUAAAAUUGGAACGAUACAGAGAUUAGCAUGGCCCCUGCAGAAGGACGACACACAAAUUCGUGAAGUGUUCCAUAUUUAA